CUCUGAGCUAAGUGGGC
RNAcentral lists this transfer RNA (17 nucleotides) under Poa compressa. RNAcentral's name for it is "partial tRNA-Thr". The record is from RNAcentral. Lineage: Eukaryota; Viridiplantae; Streptophyta; Magnoliopsida; Poales; Poaceae.